UGGGGCAUGGUGUAGUAGAUAGCACGCUAGUCUUUGACACUAGCAGGUUGGGUUUGAAUCCCGAUACCCUGACCA
Molecule: transfer RNA, 75 nt
Filed under: Campylobacterota bacterium
Lineage: Bacteria; Pseudomonadati; Campylobacterota
Description: Epsilonproteobacteria bacterium tRNA-Gln
Rfam family: tRNA
About the family: Transfer RNA (tRNA) molecules are approximately 80 nucleotides in length.
Source: RNAcentral